CUUCCUAACUACAGCCUCGCGACUAAUGAGAAGACAGAUAUUCAAAUGAUCAAUUUUCUCAUUAGCCGCGCGAAUCGGUGUAGCUGAAGAGGCGUUAAUAAAACAAUUAAUUACGAAUCAUAGCUUAGCAUUUAAGUUAAGUAUAAUUCGAGUCUUACUUCAACUUUA
This 168-nucleotide small RNA is filed under the name Providencia stuartii ATCC 25827. Its description in RNAcentral is "SraG RNA". It matches the Rfam family "SraG RNA". Rfam says of the family: This RNA was discovered in E. coli during a large scale screen. Lineage: Bacteria; Pseudomonadati; Pseudomonadota; Gammaproteobacteria; Enterobacterales; Morganellaceae. The record is from RNAcentral.